This 382-nucleotide long non-coding RNA is filed under the name Olea europaea (common olive). Its description in RNAcentral is "long non-coding RNA (OEUR_LNC011125)". The record is from RNAcentral. Lineage: Eukaryota; Viridiplantae; Streptophyta; Magnoliopsida; Lamiales; Oleaceae.
GGGUUUCGUCAAAUGGAUGGAGGUGGAAAAGAAUACUGAAAACAUGGGAAAGAUGUUCCGUUGUUGUACUCGAGACUGCAGGUAUUUCAAGUGGACUAAUCUUUUGCCCGCCGAAGAAUAUCAGUUGCAUAUUGAAGGUGAAUCAAGUGGUGUCCCGAAACCUAAAGAUCGGUUCGAUGAUUUGUCGCAUAUGUUCAAAGAAUUGACUAAAGUAUCUAAUAAUGAAGAUGACUUGGAGAUUUCGUUCAGCAUAACUAUUCGCAAGGGAAAACGAGUUUUGGAAGGCAACGACAAUUGAAGGAAAGCUACCGUGUAAUGUUAGUGUAGGACUGUGUAUGAUGUAGUUGUUUAUGGAUGUAAUUUGCAAGUUGAUGGUUAUGUG